CCCUACGUGGCGUGGGGGGGGACCUAUACGGGGCUUCGUUGGAGCUCGCCAUCUUCUUCCUCGAGCUGUCAAGCAGCCACACUCCAUUUCCCUUUCGUCCAUCUCAUCUCCUGUGUCACCAAUGCCCCCCCUCGUCGCUGGUUUAUCUCAUCUGGAAGAACACGCACAAGCAAUGGUGCCAGAGCUGGGGAUGGAGGCAGCUAGGAGGAGCAUUUUUCUUUUUUGCUAUUUUUGGAUGAUUUUUUAUUCGUCGCAUUUGGCAGAGAUUUGAGCUGGAUUUCUUGAGGGAUUUUGUUACGAGGAUCUUUAUGAGCAAUAUCGGUUCAAUCCCCCCAUUAAAUCUCACGCGAAUCGGCUUGGAUUUGGAGUUUUCUCAUAAAUCGUGUUCUUGAGAGGGAUUUCGGUUUUUGCCUCGAUUCGUGAUGGUUACUUGAUCUUUUCAAGAUCUUGUUCUUGGAUCUAUUAGAUCCUAUGACCACCCAUCUUUGGCUAAAAUUUCAUCUCGAUUCGUUAUGUUUUGGGGAAGUAGUUUGAGUUCCAAGAUUUGUGCGUUUGCUUGUCCCUCAACUUCUCCCUCGCUCACCACUGUCAGUAUCCGCUCGCAUCUCUCCUGCUGUUUUUCUUGAAUCCACAUCUUCAAUCCCGGUGCUCCUGCAGUCCUGUUCCGUGUAGGUUUCCGUGUUUGUGUGUUUCGGGUGUGUUUAGUUCCCACCAAAUUUCCAAAUUUUCCAUCACAUCCAUCACAUUUUCUAUCACAUCGAAAUAUUAAAUAUAGCAAAUAAUUUAUGCAUGGAGUACUAAAUGUAGUUAAAUAAAAAAACUAAUUGCAUAGUUUUGAUGUAUGUUGCGAGACGAAUCUUUUGAUCAUAGUUAGGUCAUGAUAGGACAAUAUUUACCACAAACAAAUGAAAAGUGUUACAGUGUGCUACAGUGACUGAUGUGACUUUUUUCCCUUUUCACCUCAUCUAAACACAGCCUUCGUCUGUUUACGAGAUGUUCUGCAUGUCUCUGCGCGCGCGAGCAGGUGAUCUCGAGGAGGAGGAGUGGGGCGCCGCGGCCGAGCUCACCGCCGAAGCUGGAGGAUUUCCUCGGCGGAGGCAUCAACGGAGCCGGUAGCGGCGGACCGGUGUCCGUAGCCGAGACGCCGGCCGCGGAGAUGUACGACUCGGACCUCAAGUUCAUAGCCGCCGGCUUCAUGCAGAGCGGCGCGGUUGGGGCGGCGGCGCCGUCGCCGGUGUCCUCCUGUUCCCUCGACCAGGCCGACCCGAAGCUGGGCUUGCCUGCCGCGGCGGUUCCGGCGCCAGAGCAGUGGAAGGCCGUGGACUCCUUCGGCCAGCGGACGUCCAUCUACCGCGGUGUCGCACGUUGCAGCGGAUUGGGGAAAAAAUCUAGGUACUGUGCAUCCGAUGGUACAGAUAUACACUGCCCUGUUUAUUCCCACCCAUAAACCCUGUAAAUACAAAUGAAAACAUCACAUCGAAUGUUUUGAGACAUGUAUGGAGUACUAAAUGGUGUACUAAAUGAAGUUUAUUUAUAAAAUUUUUUGUAUGGCUGUGUUGUAAA
Molecule: RNA transcript, 1563 nt
Organism: Panicum virgatum (switchgrass)
Lineage: Eukaryota; Viridiplantae; Streptophyta; Magnoliopsida; Poales; Poaceae
Gene name: AP2-like ethylene-responsive transcription factor AIL5
Exons: 2
Source: RefSeq, a predicted model, not a curated record